RNAcentral lists this ribosomal RNA (250 nucleotides) under uncultured bacterium. RNAcentral's name for it is "partial 16S ribosomal RNA". It matches the Rfam family "Bacterial small subunit ribosomal RNA", at positions 524 to 773 of the family's 1533-position model. The record is from RNAcentral.
UACGAAGGGGGCUAGCGUUGUUCGGAAUUACUGGGCGUAAAGAGUGCGUAGGCGGUUUUACAAGUUGGGAGUGAAAGCCCGGGGCUUAACCUCGGAAUUGCUCUCAAAACUGUAAAACUAGAGUAUGGUAGGGGAUAGUGGAAUUCUUAGUGUAGGGGUGAAAUCCGUAGAUAUUAAGAGGAACACCAGAGGCGAAGGCGACUAUCUGGGCCAUUACUGACGCUAAGGUACGAAAGCGUGGGGAGCAAAC